RNAcentral lists this long non-coding RNA (1533 nucleotides) under Helianthus annuus (common sunflower). RNAcentral describes it as "hypothetical non coding rna". Lineage: Eukaryota; Viridiplantae; Streptophyta; Magnoliopsida; Asterales; Asteraceae. The record is from RNAcentral.
UGGUCGUACAAGAAGAACAGGGGGGCGAUCCCCACACAUCAAAACCCUAAGUCUUCACCAAACUUGCAAAUUGAAGGCUCAAUCCAAGUCAAAAUCGAAAAUCAAGCAUAGAUUAUUGAUCCCCAUUGAAAGGGGAGUCAUAAGUUUGACUCUGACAAGCUAGGUAGGAGCUUGGAAAUGAACGGGUCAAAUGGAUACAAGUUCAAGUAUGAAGCUCGCAAGGAUGCAAGGUAAGUAUAACUUACACUAGUCAUAUAUUUUAAAAUGUUCUUUUGUCAUAUUGACUACGAAUAAGACAAAUGGUAAUUUAGUCACACGUUGACAAUAAUCGUUAGUUUUAAAAGACGCUUUCCCGCGAAAGACAUAAAGAGCCGAAAGUGGUAAUAAACGGUUUAUAAAUAAAAUGAGCAUACGGUGUUAAAAGGAGCGAGUCAUGUAGAUGAGAUGAUAAUAAAUAUUAUCUCGCAAAGAUAAACGGUCAAUUCGGCCAAACGGGUCAAAAGGUGUAGACAUCACCUUUUGACAAUAUCGACUAAUGAUUCUGGUGUCGAGUUAUAUGUUUACAGGAGUAGAUAUCCAAUGGAUACUCGCAUCGCUCUUAAUUAGCAAUUAUAAAGCAAGGUAUUAAACCGGGUUAGUAAGUUGAUCCGAGCCAGGUAUGUAUAAUAGAUUAACUCAUCAUGUAGAACUUGAAGUUCUAUGAAAGUUAGGCAAAAUAAAAAAAAGGCAUUCGGUUACCUUAAUAGGUAAACCGAAGGAUUUAAAUUAUUUAGACAGAAUGUUUUGAAAACAAGAUUUGGUUAAAAAUGAGAAAUUAGAAUCAAACAACAGGUUUGUUUGAUAAAAUCACGAACGGGUCAAAUUUGGUAAAAAGGGUUAAUAAGCCGAAGACUUAAAAGUCUUAAAAUUUUGUUAAUCCAGAUGUUGGGUCUUGACUCCAUUUGAUGGAGGUUCAAUUUACAAUCACGUAGGAAGAAACGGUAGGUCAAACAGACGAGCGGUUUGAAAGAUACGAAAGUUUUCGUGUCAAAAACGGCAAAAAGGAAAGGAAUGAUGCAGGGGCCACCGUAACUUACGGUGCCACCGUAAGUUACGGUGGACAUGAUUUGGUUACGGUAAAUGCCUACUGUUGUACGGUUGAAUAAUUGAAACACAGAGACCACCGUAACUUACGGUGCCACCGUAAGUUACGGUGGAGGUCAGAAAUGAGUUUUUAUUUUGGGUUUAAGAUAUCCAUGUGGGAUUUUCCUAAUUUCCCCAUUGUAUUAGUUUAAUUAAUUAUCAAAACUGACCUUUAAGUUGGUUUUGAUCACAGGUGAAUGUCGAGGGUCCCGGAUGAAGAUCGAGCAUCGAGCAAGAACCGAACACACAUUAAAUAAAGCUUCCGCAACGUUGUUUUGUCGUUAUUCUAAACGGUGAUUUAAAUCACAUUAUGUAUAUCACUUAAAUUGUAAAAGUUUUUAAUAAACCCGCAUUUUGUACAGUAUGUGUGGUCUUAACUACACAUCUAAUUGUGGGAAUCGCGAAUGCUGA